GGUGAAGCCACGGAAAGAUUCGCCGAAAAACGUACUUUCUCGGAGGGGGCUGAUUAAGGGCAAGGGCAUAAAGGUCAUUUUCACAGAGUCAAACCAUAGUGAAAACAUGACCAACAGAACGGGCUCGACGAAACAAAGAAGUAGGCUUUGGAAUCACCUCAAACGGAGUUAUAGAUAAGAAGAUAUGGCAGGUUGAAGUUCAGAGACUUUUCUGUAAAAAGAAUAUUCACAGUCGGGUCCCUGAGUGGAUAAGGCAUAGGCGCAAAGUUAGAAAUACGCUUUCAAUCAGUGAAAACGUAAACUGGAAAUGCGUCUUCACUUAUCUGAUGUGGCGUGGACUGGUCUAAAGGGGCAGAGGCGGGGCCGGGCGUCAGGGUCGCCGACUGGUGGGGCCGCGGGGCCCACGCGUAGGGUCAACGCCCACCUGGCUCCUGUCUUCUUCUUCGAGUGUGCCCGACGGAGUAGAGCAGGGGCACGGCUCCAGCGACGAGCCCCGGCGACUCGGGCCACCAUUGUCGGUGCUCCGGGCACCGACGAGCUCGGGGAAGAGUGCCGCGUCCAUCUAGGCUGGACACGGAUGCCGAGGAGGACCGAAGCGACGAGGACAUGGACUCCGACGGAGAUGGCUUCGGGUGGGGUUGGGCAUCGUGGCCAGGGUGGCUCCGGCGAGAGGGUGACGGCAGGGGAAGGAUCGCCGGAGUGAGGGGGUCUCACUGGUGGUGGAAAGAACGAUGAGGGAGGGCUCGGGUCGGCUAGAAUCGAGGUGGACAGGGGCGGCGGCAAUGAGGGGCACAGAGGGCUCCUCGAGCUCGAGCGAUGGGCUGGGGAGGGCUAGCGGAGUGUGGGGAGGCUGGUGGUGAGCUCAGACGGCUCGGGGAAGGCUAUAUAUAGCUGGGGCGAGGGGGAUGCCGACCUGGCGCCACCGGUGACGCGUGCCCGGAGCCGUGGACACGUGCCCGCGCGCAUGGACUCGGAGCAAACGACAGCGGAGGAUCAGUGGGGACUCUCACGGGGCAGAGGAGUCCAAGGGGGGUGCUGAGAGAAAGACGACGGCGACAAAAGAUCCAAGACGUCACUAUUCUCUCGUGUUCACGCGGCGACGAGCGUCGGUGAGGAAGCUGCCGGAGGGGAAGAGGGGUCCAGGGGAACAACGACGACACAGGGAACGCACUGGACAUGAUCAUGGGCGCAAAGACAACGAGAGGGGGAGGGGCCCGAGCACAAACAGUAUGCCACAGCGCACAGAGCGCGCCAACUGACAUGCCAGCUGCAUGGUCACCACGAGACAUGGCGCAUUAAAUGCUCUACAACACCCAAAAUGGUGUCUAGUGGUAAGUCCUUCGAAGAUAGGUUUGAAAUGAGGUGGUAACUUGGUGAAAACGUCUCUGGUUAAAAAGAAAUAACCCUCUAAAGUUUACUGCAGUAAACUUCAUCAGCUCAACGAUGUCAACUGGGAAUUAUUGGAAGCCAAAUAGGUUGUCUGGGGUGUUUAGGAUAGGAAGGACUACAGUCCUGGGGAGUUUGAGGGUAAAAGGAUCAAGAUUUACUGCAGUUGCUUCACAAAUGCAUACUUGGUCCAGAAAUGAAGAUCAUGAUGGUGCACUCACAUGGAGUGUCCACUUGAGCUCAGACAGAGCAAAGCUUAGUCAUUUGGUCACAUGAUGAUGCUGUAAAAAGCUCAUGCCAAAUGGCCAAGGCAAAAUGGCUCUUGCUUCACAAACACCUCUGCUGACCAGAAACUUGAAAUAAUUAUGGUGGUCAAAUGGAUCAGUGAAAUGAUGCCAAAAUGGGUGGAGGAAUGUUUUAUGGGUAUAAGAAUGAUCUGGUAAUUUAUCAGGAUUUUUGAAGCAAUAUAAAAUAUACUUGCUUCACAACCUAGGGCAAUUGGAGUUAUUCCUUUAAUAGAAAAGGAAUAUUCCCAAUGAAACGAAUAUUGGGAUUUGGGCUAGGAUGGAAAUGACAGGGUCUAGGGAAAGAUUUGGGAAUGACAAGCCACUCUAGAAACAAAGAAGAGGGCAUCUUCUUCAGUUUCCAGACCACAAAGCCAUGGAAAAAGAAAACUCAGGCAAAAACCUCGGAAAAACAAAAGAAAAAGAAAGGGCCAAAAAUCAGGCUGUGACAAACCUUACUCCCUUAAAGAAAUCUCGUCCUAGAGAUUUGGUUGCUCAGGGAACAAGUAUGAAUAUUCUGACUUAAGGAAACCGUUUCCAACUCGGGUAUCCUUUUUCCUUUAUUGUUGUUCCAACUAAAUUUGUAUCCGACUGGCCCUGGGGUAGUUUGAUUCACUAUAUCCUCCUUCUGACAGAUCUUACCUGGCUUUGCUCAUGCUUAUAUAGGCUCCAAUUUCUUUUUAGAUCUGCUGACUAGCUGAGUGUGAUUUGAUUAUCAUGACUGAAAUAUAUGUCUGUCUCACAAAUCCAAAAGUGAUUUCCGCUGGGUGUGCCACCCGGCACUGACAACCUUUCAUGUAAUGAUGAUCAGAAUUUUCUGAUGAAAAAUCAAGCUCUGACUCAUUGCAUUUGGUUUCUCCACUAAAUGCAAGUCAUUUGGGUUCCAAACAGUGAGUUAAAACAUAACCAUUUCCUGACAGAUUCGGAUUCAUCGUAGAAGUUUCUGGAUCAUCUUAACUGGUUCCACUUUCAUGAGUAUCGGAUCCGUACCAAAUAUUUGAUCAUCUCCUGAUGCGGCCAACAAAAAGGGUUUGGCCUGUAUGAUAAUAUUUGCAGACUUGGCUGACAGUGGUUCUGACAGACGAAAUUUUUUGUUCACGACAGGCUGUCCAUGAUGAUUCAUAUAAGUGAGGACUCAGACUUCCAGACUGUUAUUCCUCAUGUCAAUUACUCAUGUUGUAGGCAUAUCCAUGUGGAUCAAUACUGACUUGGACUGUCCGGGGGAUCUGCACCAUGGGGGUCGUGCAACAAUUUUCAUACCUACAUCAUGGGUCUUGCUCCUUCAUUAUUAUUUUCUUGGUCUAGAUCCUUGGCUGAAAGAGCUAGGUCAUAUUGCUUCUUCGUGUGACCAUAGGCAAUGUCGGUGCAAUUUUUCGGCAGUCGUAGCUUAUCCUCAUUUUUCUGAUAAGGUAACCCAUUAAAUGGCGGGUUCAACACCUCUCAAGUUUUGAUUGUUGGGAAAUGAUCAUCCGAAACCCUUGCAAGAAAUUGACAAAUAAAUCAGUAGCCACCAGAACGGUCUUUACAACUCAAAUCUGGGACAUUACUGAAAUAACUCAACCACGGCUCAAGACGGCCGGAAAACAGCUCAGAGCAUGAGACCGGUUGAUAAGAAGGUGGCAGCUCCCUAAAAUAGCCAAAAAGUAGCUAUAGGGCUACUGUCACAAAAAGAAACUCAAUAGUUGUACGAGAUGGUCGAAAAGCAGCUCAGACUCUCGACAGUCGUUGAAGAGAGAAACAAAAAUCGGCAUCCACCCCAGAUAGGUAGAAAUAGCUCAGAUCACAGGCGUGGUGCCGUCAUUGGAGAAAAGGGGACAAGGGCUCAUCAGGAUCAUUUUCCAGGUCCACAGGUACUUGUACUGAGCUCACUGAGGUCGUCAAUCCUCAUAAUCCUUCAUCACACUGCGGUGUAUACAGACUUUUUUCUCUUAAUCAUCAUCACGUGGUUAUCAGAUCCUCAUCCGAGUGACUUGUAAGAUCUUGCUGGUAUGCUCAUUGCAUAUAUGCGGACCUGAUUCUGAGACAAAUGUGUAUUUUGACUGAUUCUUGAUUCUGACCAGAAUGUUGCGGAUCUGAUUCUUGGGAUCCACUGCCAUAUGCUGUCCAUUCACAGUGUACUAUCUUGUACCAAUGUCUUACUGAGGAAUAUUUGCUGGCUUGUGCUCGACUUUCAUCGGACAGCUUGCUGAAGAAGACUAAAUAUCGUGCUUCAAAAGCUUACCCCCUUAAAGACUUUGCUGGGGAAAGACUCAGUACCUUAUGUUGGAAGCUUUUGCAGUUGCUUACUGAAGAAAACAGGGUACCUUGCGCGAGAAAUCAUCCAUGUAUCGUACUGAGGAAGAUAGAUCAAUCUUGCCUUGGAAGCUUCUCUGGUUUUUUGCGAGGGAAAAUUGGGUUGCUUACACCAAAAACUUCUUAUUGUGAUAUGCGGACCGAUUUCCACAUAUACAACCAUCUGAAUAUUUUUGCUAUUGAUUUCUUGCAUGAUACGGGGUUUUGCAGGACUAUACUCCUUUCUGAGUAUAUGCCAUAUUUUUGCUUGCUUCUAGGUACAUCGAGUUCCAAAAUCAUCCUCAACAAAAAAUUAAACUUGUAUCUGAGUCAUACCUUUGAUAAUAUUUUGUCAACCUUGCACACACUUUAUCUUCUGGCUGAUUUAAUCAUUUUGUUGUGAUGAGUGCACGCUAAAGCAAACUUGAUACUGACGGCCCAUCCAGGAUUUCUUUUGCAUCCAGUCAAGAUAUUCCCAAUUUCACUACAGCCAGCUGAUAAUUCCAUUCUGUUUAGCUGAGUUUCCAAAUAUAUGCAUUUCUUGCUGAUUCUUCGGGUCUGGUGUCGGCUGACGAGCAACUUUAAUAGGGGAAAAAUUUGUAACACCGAAGGCCCAAAGAAAGGAACAACAAAAACGACAAAAGCACACAAGCAUUCUACUAAUAUAAUUAAUCAAGCGAUCACCACAUAUUACUGCUACUCACACAAUAAUAUGCAUGCACACCUAAGCACACAAAUCUCGCGGAAACUCCGGUAUUGCGGUCUAAUAUGCUGUGACGAUGUGCACAAGGACGAAUAAAUGUGUGGAAGAGUCGGUGUAAACAGCGCUACACCAAGGGCUAGCUUAGCCAGGUGGCAAUCUGAACUAGCUCGGAGGCGAGGACGUACUUGGUAAUCAUGCAGUAGGACAUGAAGGUCGCAACCACAUCAUUAUCAAGCGGACGGAAAAAGAUCCGUACUCAUCCAGGAAAUAGGAUAGCAGGGAAAAACUGAGGCUGCUGACAUUGUCCUUCCUUGAUAACUAUGAUCAUUAAGGGUUGCCAACACGUCAAAAAGAACGAUCCGGGAUAGAAACAUGUCCAUCAUCGAAACGAUAGACGAGACUGAAGGAAAGACAUCGGUGCGAUACCUGAGCACCAUUUUUGCAAACAGUGUCGGGAUCACUUGGCAUCACUCUGCUGGGACAGAAAUGACACCAAACACCGAAAGAAAAAGGGAACUGGAGAAAUGCAACCGUUGAACUGUAGUGGAUCCGAAUCGAUGCCAGCUACACUCACCAGAUAAACCGUUAGCGACUAAAUAAUAAUCUAUAUGCAUGCUAUGCGAGAAACAAAUGCAGCAAUCAAGUGCAACAAACCAACUGGGGUCUAUACUACCACUUUCUAACGUUCGCGCGGUCUAGGGCGUCCUACUACCAGACCUGCUCUGGUACCAAGCCUGUGGCACCCCGGCUCUGAGAAAACCGGAACGCCCGUAUUCCAGCCCAUAGAUCGAGGAGAAGUCUUCUGGAAUACGACACUGCUUAGCAUAGAACAAACCAUCUUUCUAUUAUUACAUGAAUACGAAUACAAGGUCUCUGAUAUUACAAUGAAUAACAUCGGUACAACGACACUACGCCAUCCUCAGUUGCUCUAUGCAAGCAGCAGAACAACUCGAAGCAGCGGAAUAACUCUAGCAGCGGAACAACGGCGACGGUGGUGAACUCCACUCCACAGGGACUCUGGCUAGAACGCUUAUCUUAGCUCGCACGAACAGAAACCACGACAAGCAAGCUAUCACAUCCGGCAUGACCUGCAAACUAGCAUGACACGCCAGGUCAGUACAUUGAAUGUACUUGCAAGCUCACAAUAAACCAGAAGCAUUCAAGGCAGACAACAGCAUGGUAAUUACAGGUUAAACACGAAUUAACAUGAUAUCAUCAGAAUAACAUGGCAUGACCAACAUAAACAUGAUACAGUUAUCUCAACACGAACAUAUUAAUCUGACAAUACUAGCAUGCAACAAAUAACACUAUAUGCACCACUUACUCUGCUCUGGCUACCUCGUAAGCAACUCACGCAUCACUUACCAACCUCGGAUAUCACACGAUUAUCUCAAUCAUAUCAAUCAAAGCAUGGCAUGGCAUAAACAAACUACCAAUCAUAUCAAAUGCAGACAUAGCAUGUUAACUAUAUGCAACCAUCUCAUGACCUACCAUUGUUCUUUAAAUGCAAACAUAUUACUCAUACAAUGCAACCUAACUUGUGCACUGAGUCCUAAGGACUCUCUUACCAACGGUGAUCAUCUCAUUUCCUGAUCCCCAACAGGGACAAACUUGUGAUCCUUACGGUGAUCACAACCCGACCACUAAAUGGCCCGUGAUCCUUACGGCGAUCACAACCCGACCAACACUUGGCCCGUGACCCUUACGGCGAUCACAAUCCGACCAACACAUGGCCCGUCUCGUUGUUAUUAAACACAUUAUUUUUAUUACUGUUGACUCAUGGUGUGACCUUCUCUCCACCUAGUCCCUUAUCCGCGGGCGCGGCUGUCGGUAGAUUUAAUAUACAUUCUGUAGAGGUUAGUACAUUGUACCCACACUACGGAACCCAUGGGCUCGCCCUCCUAUUCGGGUGGACCAACGGCGUUCCGACAAAACCGAUCUACUGCCAUGACACUCUCCCGGCCAUUCUGACUCACUCCUCACUGAGCUAAGUCAUGGGUGGCCCCGUGUCUACCUCGAGACACAACGACCACCGUCGUGGCCCGAUCCACUCUGGGACCCUUGCGCAAAAUCAAAUCAAACCCGGGCACACAAGGUUAUGCUCCGCCUACCUGAUCAGGGUUGCACGCGCCCAUAACCUUCCCUCGUUGGAGGCUUCGGCGAGAGGCACAACAAUAGACCCAGUUAGGACCAUCCCAUACCGGUAAGCGUGGUUGCACUGGUCAGCAUCGAUUCAGCGGCACCAUGACUCAGCCAACAGGUGUUCAAGUUCAAUUUAAUCCGGUUAAACUUGAAUGCAAAUAUGCUGAGCCAUGAUAAAAUAACAUGAUGCCAACUAUAUUACGUGAACAUGAUAUCAACAUCACCAUGAGAGUAUCACAUAACUUUCCACCAUAUCAACAAUAACUCAUAUCCACUGAACAUCGCAUACCGACUAGCAUGACCAUAUCCAACAUCAACAUGUACUACUAACAAGCAUAAACAUAUGAACGUAAAUACUAGCAGGUAUAACAUGAUCAUAGAGUAUAAUACAACAUAGCACAAAAGUGAACAUGCAAAACUGAACAUCACCGGAACAAGGAUAACCAUCCUUUUAACAAGCAAACAUUCAUUAAAUAUUCAAGUUGAAAACCAUGGCUACUGCAUGACUAUCAUGCAAGUGGGUAUUGUGGCUUGCCUGGGGAUGAAGAAGGCACCGGGGAGAAGUGCGGUGAAGUCGCGGAAAGAUUCGCUGGAAAACGUACUCUCUCGGAGGGGGCUGAUUAAGGGCAAGGGCAUAAUGGUCAUUUUCACAGUGUCAAACCAUAGUGAAAACAUGACCAACAGAACGGGCUCGACGAAACAAAGAAGUAGGCUUUGGAAUCACCUCAAACGGAGUUACGGAUAAAAAGAUAUGGCAGGUUGAAGUUCAGGGACUUUUCUGUAAAAAGAAUAUUCACAAUCGGCUCCCUGAGUGGACAAGGCAGAGGCGCAAAGUU
RNAcentral lists this long non-coding RNA (7622 nucleotides) under Triticum aestivum (bread wheat). RNAcentral's name for it is "long non-coding RNA (TAES_LNC026858)". Lineage: Eukaryota; Viridiplantae; Streptophyta; Magnoliopsida; Poales; Poaceae. The record is from RNAcentral.